ACUGACCCGGAUCUAAAUCCACGGAGGGGGCGACCCGCGCCUCCGGAGUCGCACUGCGCCUGCGUCACUCAGACACGCUCCCCGCCCCCUGUUCGUGCUCCUCCCACCCCAGUGACUAGGCAACGCGGCAGGCGGUGGCUGCGCAGGCGCGGGGCGAUGGCCGCGCCUCUCAAACGCCUGACGCCCGCCCCUCGCGAAGCACGUGCUCCUGACGUCAGUUCCUGUUAUUCUCUUCAUUAGUCCCGCCCUCCGCAAAGGAUUCGCUUUGGAACGGGUUUUGGGGUGUGCCUGCUUCCUCCUCUCGGUCAGGUGAGUGAGUGGGCGUUGUUCUUCGUUGUCGAGCUGCCUCCACUUCCCCGUGUCUCCCUGUGCUUGGUGCUCCACCUGGAGUCAGCGAGGCUGCGGAAUUCUUUGGGGUGAGGCCGGAGUGGGGGGAUUUUCACAGCGACGGAGCCCGUCUGAGCGCUUGGCCCAAGCCUCCUCGAUGCUCGAAUCUGGACGGCAUGCGACAUCUCCAGGGCUCCGACACCAGCCCUGGACUCCCGGGGAUCUUCCAGGGCUGCAGAGAAGCAAGGAAGUAUUGGACACGGUCAGGACCGUGAACGUGACGCCGGAAUUGGAACUGAAAUGCCUUCGCUUUAAUACGCCUGUUGUUUGACUUGAGGCAACUGCGUUUCCCUCUCUGGGCCUCAUUUUCUCCCUUCCGUUAAGUGAGGACCUUGGACUGUUUCAGCGAAUCUCGUUUUUUUCAGGCAUGGACUCCUUUGAGAAUCUGGUGAGAACUGUAGAACACCUCGACAGAGAAACGCACAUGCAUACUAAAUUUUGCAAAAAGUUUUGGACAGUUCACCUAAGCACUGGUUCUGGUUAAAUCUGCAGCAGCUGGAGUCCCAGGACUCAAUCCUCAGAGCCUGGAGCGGGGAUGGGAGGCUUUUCCUGGUAACUAUUGAUCACCAGCAGGGGGAGCGCGAGGAUCGCAGAUUCUGCUCAAAUUUUCAUUCAACUUUGCACCUUAAACUGUAUGAUGACAUCAGGAAGGUAUCAAGGCCAAGAAUUGGAAUCAACCAGUAAAGCUACAGAAGAAAAGAAUCUGUAAAUGGUGAGGACAGGAAGGGAUUAUUGAGAAGAGCUACUGGGGUGCUGGUAGUACUGUUUCUUGAUCUGAUGUUGGUUAUAGGAAUGUGUUCAGUUUGUGAAAAUUCAUCAAGCUAUAACACAUAGUAUAGGUACAUUUUUCUGUAUAUGUAUUAAUUUCAAUAAAAUGUUUUAAAAACUAAAAACAAAACCUCUAUGUAUAACCCAAGAUAUGUAUUGGAUUAGGGUGACUGUUCUUUUUACCCCAUAAAUCUUAACCUUAUCGGAGUCACAAGACCCUCUGAAAAAGACCCAAGGUUAAGAACUUUUGCAGCAGCAAAAUGGAGAAAAGGAGCUAAGCACGCGAACACAUAGUUCACCGAAAAAAGAAAUACAAACAUAUGAAAAGAUGCUUACUUUCAGUCUUCAAAAAAUGAAUGCUUGUUAAAAGUGCACAGAGAUACCAAUCGUAACCUAUCUGGUUGGCAACAAUUCCAAAGUUUGAGAGCACAUUCGGUGGGAUUGGAGGUAGGGGGUGGGCAGUAGGCAACAGGCUCGCUCAGAUAUUACUGGAGGGAUUGUGAAAUGACAAGUCUAGGAAUCCACCCUGUAGAUGACAUUUGUAGAUCCAUGCAAUGACUUAUGUAAAAGGUUAGCCAUUGCAGCAUUGGUUGUAAGAGCGAAAAGAUUGGAAACAACCCAGAUGUCCAUCUGUACAGGACCGGGCACAGAAACCGUGGUGCGGCUCCAUGCAGAAGCACUAGGUAGCUGGAAACAGAGGAAGCUCUUUGUGGACUGAGGAAAGCUCUCCAAGAUACAGUAAGUAAACAACAAACAAACAAAAAACCAAGAUGUGAGCUAAGAAUAUAUACUUGUAUUACUUGUGUGUGAAUAAAGAAACACUGAAAAGGUAUACAGGACAGCAAGAGAAGCAGGUCAGAGAAUGGGGGGGGAGCCAGACUUUGUACCGUGGACCUUGGGUUCUGAUUUUUGAAUCCUGAAGUAUCUUACCUACACCAGACAUGAGCCGCGGCAGAUUUAAAGAGCCCUGUUCUGAAGCUGUUGAGCUAAGCUUCUAGGCUCUCAUACUUAUUAUAUCUGCCAACUGCACAAUGGCUGGGUUUGGUUUUUUAACUUUGAAUGAAGCUGUGUCUUGAUGAGAGUCUUCAACUUAUUCUGCAUUUGAGCUGCUGUGUCACGGUUUCCCGGCUCAGCCUCAACUCCCAAGAAUUCUUUCCUUGCCCUGCCUGUGCUCUAAACCAGUCUGCCGCCCUCUCAAGGGUUGACAUCUACCUAUAAUUCAUGAGCAUCGUAUUUUGCCUGAGGGAAAAGGAAAAGGUUUCACCAAAAGAGUGCUCCUGUGCCCUCAGAUGCCAUCUGAGACCUUGGUCUUCGUCCGUUCACCUUUGCCCGUCACUACCGCCAUUCUUUUCCCUUCCCACCUCCUUAAAGUGUCUUCCCUCCAAGACCAGCCCCCACUGUAACGUCCCUUUGGUUCCUGUCUCUUGCACCUUCUCUGGAAACUCACACCAUUUUUUCUGUACGUGCUAACAUACAUCAUGUCUUCUCCUGUAUUUAAAAAAAGAAAAACAAAACAAACAAAACACCCCCACAAAACCCAAACCCACAAAGCCCCUUUCUACCUGGAUUCCUCCUAAGUUCCCAUCCUUUUUCUCGCCAUUAGACCAUAGUCAGUGUCUCUCCUUUGAUUCUCAUUGUUCAGUCUGCUGCAACCAGACUUCCGUCCUCACUGAAACGCUUCUGGCCAAGGGCAGGAGUGGCUUCCUUGCUGCUGAAUCAAGCGGCCCCUUUCUCAGCUCUCACGUUGCUUGAGUUCUGAGCACUGUCUGACGCUGGUCGUGGCCUCCUCCUCAACUCACUCCCCUUCCAGCUUCUGUGGUCCCUGCGCCCAGGGCCGUCCUCGCCGCCUGUCCUGCUCCGUCUCCUCCCCAGGCUCCUCUUCUGCUCGUCUGCGGUCCUCAGGCCUCGCCGCACCACGCUUCUCACCUCAUUCACUCCCUGGGUGAGCCUGUGUCAGAGAAUAGAGAAAUCCACUCUGACUAGCUUGAGUAGAAAAGGAAUUUACUGGAAGGAUAUCAGAAAGCUCACUCAACAAAAGGGAAUGCUGAACAGCCAGGCCUCAUCAGACUGGGGACACAGCCUUUCCCAGGAGCCAGGAAUUCGCAGGCAGCCUCUCUGGGGCGUCACCAUCAGGUGCCACGCGUUUGUGAUCCCUCCAUGCCGCUCUGCACAGGAUUCAGGUUCUGAGGGGAGAAGCCCUGGGUGGCCCUGCAGCAGCCGUCCGCCUUUGUCCCCCACUACCAGUACCCGGGGAUGACCACUGUCAGCAUUUUGUCGUAGUGCUGUGAUGUGCCUAGGAGCCAGGCUGGCUCUGUUAGAAGUCCGGCUUCACCACACCCACCCCUCUGUGUGGCCUUGGACAUGCUGCCCAAGCCCCUGUGCCUCCAUUUACUGCUCUGAAAAAUGGGGGUAAUGAUAAGACCCACCUCAGAGGGCUUGGAGAGGAUCGAGUGAGUGAUUUGAUAGGACACUGCCAGGUUCCUGGUGAGUGUCCAACAAAUGUUA
Long non-coding RNA from Delphinapterus leucas (beluga whale), 3660 nucleotides. RefSeq lists it as uncharacterized. The record is from RefSeq and is a predicted model, not a curated record. Lineage: Eukaryota; Metazoa; Chordata; Mammalia; Artiodactyla; Monodontidae.